GUACUCGCUUCGACAGCACAUAUACUAAAAUUGGUGUGAUACGGGUUAGAUUAAGAUGGCCCCUGCACAAGGAUGACACACAAAUUCAUGAAGUAUUCCAUAUUUUU
Small nuclear RNA from Mirounga angustirostris (Northern elephant seal), 107 nucleotides. The record is from RefSeq and is a predicted model, not a curated record. NCBI's taxonomy places the organism in Eukaryota, Metazoa, Chordata, Mammalia, Carnivora, Phocidae.